GCCUAUGAUUACAGAAAUUAUGAAAAUGAAACAAAAUUUAAUUUUCCUGGAUAUAUUUUAUGCUCUGGAAAUAAUAGUGAUGAUAAUUUAAAACAUUUAAACCUGAAUCGGAUAUAUGUGUCUCACUGUUCACUUGACUAUUUUAAAUAAGACUUAAAAUUAUUUGAUGAAGUAUUCAGAUAUUUCUCAGUUGCAAAUUACUUGGAACUGACUUUUUUAAUCUGCUAAUAUUGCAUAAACAUUAUUCUUACAACCAUACCAAAUGACUAGCAGGAUUCAGAAGUGAAUUAUUACUUCAUGAUGGAAAUGGCCACUGGGAAAAUGUGAAUAUGUGUUGAACGGGUAGCCCACUCACUCCACUUUCCCAGAACUUCCAAUAUUUAUAGCAUCAGUUAGCAUUUCAGUGAAAGAAGAAUAUGGUCAUUUUGGUGCUGAAAUUAGUGCACAAAACCAUACUUUUAUACCCUAGGGAUCUUCUGCAUCAUAGCAUUUUGCUAAUAAGCUUCAUUAAUAUCUGGCAAUAUGUCUUUUAUUUAAAUGACUUGAUAACAGUUUCAAAGGCAAGAACACUCUGGAUAGCACUUUAUUUUGUGCUUAUAGUUGGAAUGUGGACAAGAAAUCAGAGUCAACUGCUGAAGCAGUAGCCAAGUUAAAAUGGAUUUAAAUUGAAGGAACAAUAAGUUUAUCAAAGUGCUAUUAUUUUAGAUGCCACCCUCUAGGAAAAGUACAGUGUACAACUGAUUUUAUAGCAUGUGACAUGCUUUGCUUGAGUUCAUCACUCACAUUACUGAUGAUUAGAGGAACAAAAAGGGUUGGAUGAGGAAAUAAAAGAAAAUCCACCUUAGGCUUUCUUGCUUGCUUGCUCUUAGAAAGACCUACUAAUUAGCCUUUCGAUUAACUAAGGUGAAGCCAUUCAAGGCUUUGGUAACAAUGAAGUGAAACAACAUUACUACAUUCACAUCAGCUCAUUUCAACAAAGGUACCUGAUCUUCUCUUUGUUACCACACCAGUCCACUUGCAAUGAGUGUUUUCACACUUUCUGAUUCAAUCUGUCCAAGCUGUGAUUUUUUUCUGCCUGAUUUGAACAAGUGUUAGUUCUCUGAAAGGCCAGGUUAUUUAAGGUAAAGUGUGGUUGGCAAAAGUUGUGCCACAUUAUUUCUGUUACCAGCAAGUAUUGUUUUCUCCUUGAUAUUAUGUUUAUUUGCAAAUAAUCAGAAAUGCAUUGCAAAUUUAAAACAAUAUUUUAUCCUAAAGCUCACAACUCUCUUAGUUUUGAAAUAACUAUAUUACCAAUCUGGAAAGCUUAAAAAUAGAGAAAAAUUCAUGGGCUGAAUGGGACAAAAAGGAAUUGGUUCUUCUCUCAUAUAUACAUUCCAUGGAGAAUGCAAAGUGUGGGCAUUCUGGAGGAUUCCCUAUAACCUGAUUCUCCCUUGCAAAGGAGGUUGGAGUUCAUGGUUACAGUGCUAUUUGGAAAAGGGCCUCAAAUUCUGAGACACUGACCAAUUUCUAAGGACCUUGAGUUACUUUGUAAAGUACCAUAGAACACAGUAACAAUAUUGAUUGAAUAGGUUAAAUUAUGAAGCGACUCACUGCCUUCAACAGAUAUUCAUUUAUCUCUUUAUUUAUUGAGUACCUGGCACAUAUGAACAAGCACCAGGCUACACAUGCCAUUCUAGCCUGAGGAGUCCAACAGACAUGCUCACUGCCCCCAUGGAGCUUUCCAUUCAGCAGCAACAACAGUACAAAGAAUUAUCUUUGCACAGAGGGGGAAGAAAUGACAUUUAGCUGAUGGCUGACUCAGAAAGGUUUCAUUGAAGCAGUAGCAUUGGAAUUGUGUCUUGAAGAAUAGGCUUUUGAAAGACAGAGGUGCAUUCCUGGUGGAGGAAUUAAACAAGACAAGAAAGACUAAAAAGCAUGGAGUACGUUAAGGGGUUAUGAAUAGUGAGAUUUGUCUAUAAUGCAUGACAAUUCAUUGAGUCUCCACUAUAAACAAGGUUCAGUUCUGAGUUCUCAGGAUAAAGCAGUUUUUAAAAAUGGACACUGCACUUUGGAGUCAACAUUCUUAUGGAAACGGGUCAGCAAUAAAAACCAAAUAGGUCUAUAAUAUAAUGGCAGAUGGUAGAAGUGUUAAUCCAUUCCAGCCUCGUUUUUCUCCUUACUACCCUUGGAACUCAUCAAACAUGAUCUUGCCUAAGGGCUUUGCACUUGCCAUUCCUUCUACCUGGAACACAUAUUUUGAAAACAUUCACAAGGCUCACUUCCCUCACUUCCUUAAGAUCUUUGUUCAAAUAUCCCUUACCAGGGAAGCUUUCCUUAUUAAGGAAGCAACCACCACUCUUCCCCAACACAUCCUAUGUCCUUUCCUGGCUUUGAUUUUUUCACCAUAGAAGCUACUGUUAUCUGGCAUGCUACUUAACUUGUUUGCUUACUGUUUCUUUCCCCAAUGGAAAGUAAGCACCAUGAAAGAAAGGGAUUUUUAUCUAUUUUUUUACUGCUAUAUUCUCAGUAUUAGGACAAUACCUCGCACAUUCAAGAAAGACUUAUAUUAUGAAGAAAUAUGAUGAAAAAUAAAGUGGUCAAGAAAAUUAUGUGCUGUUAUUUUAGAGGGAAGCUGGGAAAGGUCUCCGUAAAGAAAGAAUAUUUGAAUAAGAGAGCAGGACGUCCGGCUUCUGACUGGGAACCUUCUUGCCGUCAGCAACCAAAGAGAGAAUUAAAUAUGGGUGAUGUUGAGAAAGGCAAGAAGAUUUUUGUUCAGAAGUGUGCCCAGUGCCACACUGUGGAAAAGGGAGGCAAGCACAAGACUGGGCCAAAUCUCCACGGUCUCUUUGGGAGAAAGACAGGUCAGGCUGCUGGAUUCUCUUACACAGACGCCAAUAAAAACAAAGGCAUCCCCUGGGGAGAGGACACACUGAUGGAGUAUUUGGAGAAUCCCAAGAAGUACAUCCCUGGAACAAAAAUGAUCUUUGCCGGCAUUAUGAAGAAGGGAGAAAGGGCAGACUUGAUAGCUUAUCUCAAAAAAGCCACUAAUGAGUAAUAAUUGGUCACUGCCUUAUUUGUUACAAACCAGAAAUAUCUCGUAACUUUUUUUAUGUGUACCAUAAUUUAAUUGGUCUCAUACACCAGAAUUCAGAUCACGAAAGAGCGACAAGAAUAUUUUUGUUGGAUAGUCCUGAUUUAACUAAGACUGGCUUGUGGUUAAUUUGGUUUUUUGAAUUCUGAUAGUAAUUCCAAUACAGUAAAUGCUAUCACUGUUUCCUCCCUUCUGAAGAUGUGAUUGGAUUAAUUAGUAGUGUUCAACCUUUCACACGGAUGGUAAAUUGCCAUUUCAAAACCUGUUGAAGAUUGGUUUUAUAUUUAGAUUUAUAUAACUGGUUAUGUGAAUAUAUUUAAAUACUAGGGAAAUCGCUUCACUGUCUUGGAACCAAGCAAGACUCACUGGUGUUUUAAUUCGUGUUUAUUAGCCUGUUAAAGGCGAGGGCUGGAGAUAAGGUAGCAAUGUUUACUUUAUAUAUUUUUGGUCUUCGCUAUGCCAAUCCAAUUUCCCUAUGUCUACUAAAAUGCUGCCUUUUAUUUAUUGAAAGGCAUUUUAGUGUGGUUUAUGUGUAAUAUCAAAUAAAGAAUAUUUAACACUUAAAAAAAAA
Microcebus murinus (gray mouse lemur) is the source of this 3641-nucleotide non-coding RNA. Lineage: Eukaryota; Metazoa; Chordata; Mammalia; Primates; Cheirogaleidae. The record is from RefSeq and is a predicted model, not a curated record.